This 1284-nucleotide ribosomal RNA is filed under the name Salmonella enterica subsp. enterica serovar Typhimurium. RNAcentral's name for it is "bacterial LSU rRNA". It matches the Rfam family "Bacterial large subunit ribosomal RNA", at positions 970 to 2155 of the family's 2925-position model. Lineage: Bacteria; Pseudomonadati; Pseudomonadota; Gammaproteobacteria; Enterobacterales; Enterobacteriaceae. The record is from RNAcentral.
UGUUAUCACGGGAGACACACGGCGGGUGCUAACGUCCGUCGUGAAGAGGGAAACAACCCAGACCGCCAGCUAAGGUCCCAAAGUCAUGGUUAAGUGGGAAACGAUGUGGGAAGGCCCAGACAGCCAGGAUGUUGGCUUAGAAGCAGCCAUCAUUUAAAGAAAGCGUAAUAGCUCACUGGUCGAGUCGGCCUGCGCGGAAGAUGUAACGGGGCUAAACCAUGCACCGAAGCUGCGGCAGCGAACGUAUCACUUAAAGCGAUUCAGCGGGUUACGAUUGACGGAGCGAAGCGACGUCAAAGCGUAUACAAAGUCGAGUCGGUUUAAGGAUACGUUCGUUGGGUAGGGGAGCGUUCUGUAAGCCCGUGAAGGUGGCCUGUGAGGGUUGCUGGAGGUAUCAGAAGUGCGAAUGCUGACAUAAGUAACGAUAAAGCGGGUGAAAAGCCCGCUCGCCGGAAGACCAAGGGUUCCUGUCCAACGUUAAUCGGGGCAGGGUGAGUCGACCCCUAAGGCGAGGCCGAAAGGCGUAGUCGAUGGGAAACGGGUUAAUAUUCCCGUACUUGGUGUUACUGCGAAGGGGGGACGGAGAAGGCUAUGUUGGCCGGGCGACGGUUGUCCCGGUUUAAGCGUGUAGGUGUGUGUUCCAGGUAAAUCCGGUUCACUUUAACACUGAGGCGUGAUGACGAGGCACUACGGUGCUGAAGCAACAAAUGCCCUGCUUCCAGGAAAAGCCUCUAAGCAUCAGGUAACAUCAAAUCGUACCCCAAACCGACACAGGUGGUCAGGUAGAGAAUACCAAGGCGCUUGAGAGAACUCGGGUGAAGGAACUAGGCAAAAUGGUGCCGUAACUUCGGGAGAAGGCACGCUGACACGUAGGUGAAGUGAUUUACUCACGGAGCUGAAGUCAGUCGAAGAUACCAGCUGGCUGCAACUGUUUAUUAAAAACACAGCACUGUGCAAACACGAAAGUGGACGUAUACGGUGUGACGCCUGCCCGGUGCCGGAAGGUUAAUUGAUGGGGUCAGCGCAAGCGAAGCUCCUGAUCGAAGCCCCGGUAAACGGCGGCCGUAACUAUAACGGUCCUAAGGUAGCGAAAUUCCUUGUCGGGUAAGUUCCGACCUGCACGAAUGGCGUAAUGAUGGCCAGGCUGUCUCCUCCCGAGACUCAGUGAAAUUGAACUCGCUGUGAAGAUGCAGUGUACCCGCGGCAAGACGGAAAGACCCCGUGAUCCUUUACUAUAGCUUGACACUGAACAUUGAGCCUUGAUGUGUAGGAUAGGUGGGAGGC